Molecule: long non-coding RNA, 1303 nt
Organism: Ailuropoda melanoleuca (giant panda)
Lineage: Eukaryota; Metazoa; Chordata; Mammalia; Carnivora; Ursidae
Exons: 2
Source: RefSeq, a predicted model, not a curated record
UGCUCGCAUGCUGCAGACGUGCGUCCGCUCAGCGCUGGCCACGUCACCUCUGCUCAGUGCUUCCAUCUCAUGAUCUUAAUCACUACAGGCCACGUGAGUGAGACCAAAUUUUAUCUUUUUUCUUCUUCUUACAGGGGUCUGAGAAUAUUUCUCUUCUGUCUCCUUAUGUCUCACAUGGUUUCCUAAUGCUACUCUCAGGUUUUACAGUCCCUUAGGCAAGAAUUUGUAGUGACAGAUGAUGGGGUCUCUUCGCAGGUCCCAGAUUCUGGGAAGGACUGGAAAACGCUCAAUGACAAGACAGCCCUGUGGGGAGCAGAAUGCCACCUGAAACGGGGGGUUCAUCCAGAGGAAAGCACUUUGGAGGGGUCACGGGGCUCACAACAAAGAGCAGGGGACACUCAGAAGAGAGAGACAGCCAGCCAGCGAGAGGGAACACAAGCAGGGGGAGUGUGAGAGGAAGAAGCAGGCUCCCAGCCGAGCAGGGAGUCCGAUGCGGGGCUCAGUCCCAGGACUCUGGGAUCACGACCUGAGCCGAAGGCAGACGCUGAACGACUGAGCCACCCAGGCGCCCCAGGGUGGAGAUUUCUUAUGUGUAGCCCUAAUUCUCCUUCACGGCUAUUUGAUUCUAUUACUUCGAAACCAGGUACAUUCACAUCGGCACAUCUGCCCUCACCUGCAACCAGCUCUUCAUGCACUUGAGACAAAGCCCCGAUCUCAUCCAGCUUAACUUUUUUUUUUAAAGGGGCGAGAGAGGGGAGGUGAAAUUGUUAAUUUAAAUUGUUUUUAACGGGUGUAUUUGCUGUAGCUUUUUCUUUAGGCAGAUGAAACAAUGAGUAUAUCCAUAUAAACCUUGGCAUUUCUUUCUUUGUAAUCCUUGUGAACAUCACUGUUCUCUGGUGUGUGGUUUCUGAGGCUUUGAGGCUGAAUGUGAAGGGGGGCAGGACUCACCGUGUGCCCAGCUCUGCUCUUGCUGCUCAGCCGGGCUUCGGGCUGCUCCGAUCCCUAGUACUGUGACCUCCUCAGGAUCACAGACUUGCGUGUGUCCCCCGAGGUUCCGCUAAUAAGGUAACAAAAUGAACCACUUCCUUCUUGCAGAUGGAUUUCUGGGACGGAAUAUAUUAUGCUGGCCUGAAAUAAAUGAAAGGCUUGAGUUACUGUGGUAUCUUUAGUACUAGGGUCAUCUCUGGGUGGUGGGGAUCAGAGCUUCCCCCCGCCAUGAAAUAUUUUUUUCCUAUAAUGUGCAUAUACUGCUUUAAAGUGAAGCAAGUCUUUGUUUUUUAAAUAAACAGCUGUUAUGCCAACA